UGGUGGGUAGUUUGACUGGGGCGGUCUCCUCCUAAAGAGUAACGGAGGAGCACGAAGGUUGGCUAAUCCUGGUCGGACAUCAGGAGGUUAGUGCAAUGGCAUAAGCCAGCUUGACUGCGAGCGUGACGGCGCGAGCAGGUGCGAAAGCAGGUCAUAGUGAUCCGGUGGUUCUGAAUGGAAGGGCCAUCGCUCAACGGAUAAAAGGUACUCCGGGGAUAACAGGCUGAUACCGCCCAAGAGUUCAUAUCGACGGCGGUGUUUGGCACCUCGAUGUCGGCUCAUCACAUCCUGGGGCUGAAGUAGGUCCCAAGGGUAUGGCUGUUCGCCAUUUAAAGUGGUACGCGAGCUGGGUUUAGAACGUCGUGAGACAGUUCGGUCCCUAUCUGCCGUGGGCGCUGGAAGAUUGAGGGGGGCUGCUCCUAGUACGAGAGGACCGGAGUGGACGCAUCACUGGUGUUCGGGUUGUCAUGCCAAUGGCACUGCCCGGUAGCUACAUGCGGAAGAGAUAAGUGCUGAAAGCAUCUAAGCACGAAACUUGCC
RNAcentral lists this ribosomal RNA (540 nucleotides) under Salmonella enterica. RNAcentral's name for it is "partial 23S ribosomal RNA". It matches the Rfam family "Bacterial large subunit ribosomal RNA", at positions 2259 to 2798 of the family's 2925-position model. Lineage: Bacteria; Pseudomonadati; Pseudomonadota; Gammaproteobacteria; Enterobacterales; Enterobacteriaceae. The record is from RNAcentral. RNAcentral also lists the same sequence under 2 other names.